This 36-nucleotide ribosomal RNA is filed under the name Schoenus nigricans. RNAcentral describes it as "partial 28S ribosomal RNA". Lineage: Eukaryota; Viridiplantae; Streptophyta; Magnoliopsida; Poales; Cyperaceae. The record is from RNAcentral.
GAUACCCCAGGUCAGGCGGGGCUACCCGCUGAGUUU